Molecule: ribosomal RNA, 492 nt
Filed under: uncultured bacterium
Lineage: Bacteria
Description: partial 16S ribosomal RNA
Rfam family: Bacterial small subunit ribosomal RNA
Source: RNAcentral
AGUGAACGCUGGCGGUAGGCCUAACACAUGCAAGUCGAACGGCAGCACAGUAAGCGCUUGCUCUUACGGGUGGCGAGUGGCGGACGGGUGAGGCAUACAUCGGAAUCUACUUUUUCGUGGGGGAUAACGUAGGGAAACUUCCGCUAAUACCGCAUACGACCUACGGGUGAAAGCAGGGGAUCUUCGGACCUUGCGCGAUUGAAUGAGCCGAUGUCGGAUUAGCUAGUUGGCGGGGUAAAGGCCCACCAAGGCGACGAUCCGUAGCUGGUCUGAGAGGAUGAUCAGCCACACUGGAACUGAGACACGGUCCAGACUCCUACGGGAGGCAGCAGUGGGGAAUAUUGGACAAUGGGCGCAAGCCUGAUCGAGCCAUGCCGCGUGAGUGAAGAAGGCCUUCGGGUUGUAAAACCCUGUUGUUGGGAAAGAAAAACAGCGGGUUAAUACCCCGCUGUUCUGACGGUACCCAAAGAAUAAGCACCGGCUAACUUCGUG